Molecule: ribosomal RNA, 429 nt
Filed under: uncultured bacterium
Lineage: Bacteria
Description: bacterial SSU rRNA
Rfam family: Bacterial small subunit ribosomal RNA
Source: RNAcentral
GGGCCCGCACAAGCGGUGGAGCAUGUGGUUUAAUUCGAUGAUACGCGAGGAACCUUACCAGGGCUUAAAUGCAGAACGACAGGGGUGGAAACACCCUCUUCUUCGGACGGUCUGCAAGGUGCUGCAUGGUUGUCGUCAGCUCGUGCUGUGAAGUGUCGGGUUAAGUCCCAUAACGAGCGCAACCCCUAUUUCUAGUUGCCAGCGGUUCGGCCGGGGACUCUAGAAAAACUGCCAGCGUAAGCUGUGAGGAAGGUGGGGAUGACGUCAAAUCAUCACGGCCCUUACGUCCUGGGCUACACACGUGCUACAAUGGUAGGGACAGAGAGUUGCCAACCCGCGAGGGUGAGCUAAUCUUCAAACCCUAUCUCAGUUCGGAUCGGAGUCUGCAACUCGACUCCGUGAAGUUGGAAUCGCUAGUAAUCGCAUAUC